RNAcentral lists this unclassified non-coding RNA (419 nucleotides) under Zea mays. Its description in RNAcentral is "misc RNA Zm00001eb374770". Lineage: Eukaryota; Viridiplantae; Streptophyta; Magnoliopsida; Poales; Poaceae. The record is from RNAcentral.
CCCAAGCUGGUUGACGGCCGCGACGAAUUUCCGGUGCAGCUCAAUCGACCAGACGACUCUCGGCUUCUUAGCCGCGGAGGGCUCGUCGCCCUCCUGGAAAUCGUUCUCCUCGCCGUCGUCCUCCUCGUCGCUGUGCAUUUCCUUCCUCUUCCUGCCGAUCCUCCCGCUCUGGUCGGAAGCCCCGGCAGUGGUCUGGCCGUGGCCGUGGCCGUGGCUGUGGCAUGGAUCCGCGCCUGGCAGCCUGUUGAAAUCUUUGUAGACGUCAAGGUUGCUGCGCUCUCGCUUGCUGAACUUCCUCCUGACGACGUGCUGCCAUAUGUUCCUUAGCUCUUCGAUGCGGACGGGUUUCAGGAGAUAGUCGCAGGCGCCAUGGGUUAUCCCCUUCAUCACGGAUUUCGUCUCCCCGUUCACUGACAACA